Folsomia candida is the source of this 219-nucleotide long non-coding RNA. RefSeq lists it as uncharacterized. The record is from RefSeq and is a predicted model, not a curated record. NCBI's taxonomy places the organism in Eukaryota, Metazoa, Arthropoda, Collembola, Entomobryomorpha, Isotomidae. The transcript is spliced from 2 exons.
UCCUCAUACAGGCUUGCGUUAUUGCUAAUGUUCUUGGAUAUUACUGUAAUAACAUAAAAAUAUUCAUGUAGAUUCCUUGUAGAAGCAAUUAAUUAGUGAUUAACGAGGUGGCAAUGAGAUUUGUCUGUGGGUUAUUUAGCAUUUUCCUCACGACCAUACGAAUCAUUAAUCAUAAAUUGUACACAAAUAAAACAGCCAAUAAAUAAUAUUUAAAAUCAA